Molecule: ribosomal RNA, 401 nt
Filed under: uncultured bacterium
Lineage: Bacteria
Description: bacterial SSU rRNA
Rfam family: Bacterial small subunit ribosomal RNA
Source: RNAcentral
UGGGGAAUAUUGGACAAUGGGGGAAACCCUGAUCCAGCAAUGCCGCGUGAGUGAUGAAGGCCUUAGGGUUGUAAAGCUCUUUCGACGGGGACGAUGAUGACGGUACCAGUAGAAGAAGCCCCGGCUAACUUCGUGCCAGCAGCCGCGGUAAGACGAAGGGGGCUAGCGUUGUUCGGAAUUACUGGGCGUAAAGCGCACGUAGGCGGCUUUGUAAGUUAGAGGUGAAAGCCCGGAGCUCAACUCCGGAAUUGCCUUUAAGACUGCAUCGCUUGAAUCAUGGAGAGGUGAGUGGAAUUCCGAGUGUAGAGGUGAAAUUCGUAGAUAUUCGGAAGAACACCAGUGGCGAAGGCGACUCACUGGACAUGUAUUGACGCUGAGGUGCGAAAGCGUGGGGAGCAAAC